RNAcentral lists this ribosomal RNA (119 nucleotides) under Echinops telfairi (small Madagascar hedgehog). Lineage: Eukaryota; Metazoa; Chordata; Mammalia; Afrosoricida; Tenrecidae. The record is from RNAcentral.
GUUCAUGGCCAUACCACCCUGAAUGCGCCUGAUCUCCUCCGAUCUCACAAGCUAAGCAGGGUUGGUCCUGGUUAGUACUGGGAUGGGAGACUGCUUUGGAAUACUCAGGGUGAUGGCUU